AUUGAACGCUGGCGGCAUGCCUAACACAUGCAAGUCGAACGGCAGCACGGGAGCUUGCUCCUGGUGGCGAGUGGCGGACGGGUGAGUAAUGCAUAGGAAUCUGCCCAGUAGCGGGGGACAACUUGGGGAAACUCAAGCUAAUACCGCAUGCGCCCCUACGGGGGGAAANCGGGGGGACCUUCGGGCCUCGCACUAUUGGAUGAGCCUACGUCAGAUUAGCUUGUUGGUGGGGUAACGGCCUACCAAGGCGACGAUCUGUAGCUGGUCUGAGAGGACGAUCAGCCACACUGGGACUGAGACACGGCCCAGACUCCUACGGGAGGCAGCAGUGGGGAAUAUUGCACAAUGGGCGAAAGCCUGAUGCAGCAAUGCCGCGUGUGUGAAGAAGGCCUGCGGGUUGUAAGCACUUUCAGUGGAGGAAAGCUAGUAGUUAUACCUGCUAGCCCUGACGUUACCUAUAGAAGAAGCACCGGCUAACUCCGUG
RNAcentral lists this ribosomal RNA (484 nucleotides) under uncultured bacterium. RNAcentral's name for it is "bacterial SSU rRNA". It matches the Rfam family "Bacterial small subunit ribosomal RNA", at positions 30 to 507 of the family's 1533-position model. The record is from RNAcentral.